Molecule: ribosomal RNA, 497 nt
Filed under: uncultured bacterium
Lineage: Bacteria
Description: partial 16S ribosomal RNA
Rfam family: Bacterial small subunit ribosomal RNA
Source: RNAcentral
GAUGAACGCUGGCGGCGUGCCUAAUACAUGCAAGUCGAGCGAACAGACGAGGAGCUUGCUCCUCUGACGUUAGCGGCGGCCGGGUGAGUAACACGUGGAUAACCUACCUAUAAGACUGGGAUAACUUCGGGAAACCGGAGCUAAUACCGGAUAAUAUAUUGAACCGCAUGGUUCAAUAGUGAAAGACGGUUUUGCUGUCACUUAUAGAUGGAUCCGCGCCGCAUUAGCUAGUUGGUAAGGUAACGGCUUACCAAGGCAACGAUGCGUAGCCGACCUGAGAGGGUGAUCAGCCACACUGGAACUGAGACACGGUCCAGACUCCUACGGGAGGCAGCAGUAGGGAAUCUUCCGCAAUGGGCGAAAGCCUGACGGAGCAACGCCGCGUGAGUGAUGAAGGUCUUCGGAUCGUAAAACUCUGUUAUUAGGGAAGAACAAAUGUGUAAGUAACUAUGCACGUCUUGACGGUACCUAAUCAGAAAGCCACGGCUAACUACGUG